RNAcentral lists this unclassified non-coding RNA (230 nucleotides) under plant metagenome. RNAcentral describes it as "partial contains small subunit ribosomal RNA, internal transcribed spacer 1, and 5.8S ribosomal RNA". The record is from RNAcentral.
UCUCCGUAGGUGAACCUGCGGAGGGAUCAUUACAGAGUACUGGCCCUUGCGGAUAGAUCUCCCACUCACUGUUAUAGUUACUGACGUGUCUUUGGCGGAACGCCGGGACACCGGCCGCAGGCGCCAAAUAAGCGCCGCGCGCCAGACAGAGACCUAAGAACACUGACUGUUACUGACGACUGAGCACUAUAUAAUAGUUAAAACUUUCAACAACGGAUCUCUUGGUUCUG